This 292-nucleotide ribosomal RNA is filed under the name uncultured bacterium. RNAcentral describes it as "partial 16S ribosomal RNA". It matches the Rfam family "Bacterial small subunit ribosomal RNA", at positions 505 to 796 of the family's 1533-position model. The record is from RNAcentral.
GUGCCAGCCGCCGCGGUAAUACAGAGGGUGCGAGCGUUAAUCGGAAUUACUGGGCGUAAAGCGCACGUAGUCGGCUUGUCAAGUCGGGUGUGAAAUCCCCGGGCUCAACCUGGGAACUGCAUCCGAGACUGACUUGCUAGAGUAUGGGAGAGGGAAGCGGAAUUUCUGGUGUAGCAGUGAAAUGCGUAGAUAUCAGAAGGAACAUCAGUGGCGAAGGCGGCUUCCUGGACCAAUACUGACGAUCAGGUGCGAAAGCGUGGGGAGCAAACAGGAUUAGAUACCCCCGUAGUCC